UUAAAUGAAAGAGUUUGAUCCUGGCUCAGGACGAACGCUGGCGGCGUGCUUAACACAUGCAAGUCG
RNAcentral lists this ribosomal RNA (66 nucleotides) under Clostridiales bacterium. RNAcentral describes it as "partial 16S ribosomal RNA". It matches the Rfam family "Bacterial small subunit ribosomal RNA", at positions 1 to 64 of the family's 1533-position model. The record is from RNAcentral. Lineage: Bacteria; Bacillati; Bacillota; Clostridia; Eubacteriales.